Molecule: ribosomal RNA, 510 nt
Filed under: uncultured bacterium
Lineage: Bacteria
Description: partial 16S ribosomal RNA
Rfam family: Bacterial small subunit ribosomal RNA
Source: RNAcentral
GACGAACGCUGGCGGCGUGCUUAACACAUGCAAGUCGAACGAAGAGCGAUGGAAGCUUGCUUCUAUCAAUCUUAGUGGCGAACGGGUGAGUAACGCGUAAUCAACCUGCCCUUCAGAGGGGGACAACAGUUGGAAACGACUGCUAAUACCGCAUACGAUCUAAUCUCGGCAUCGAGGAUAGAUGAAAGGUGGCCUCUACAUGUAAGCUAUCACUGAAGGAGGGGAUUGCGUCUGAUUAGCUAGUUGGAGGGGUAACGGCCCACCAAGGCGAGGAUCAGUAGCCGGUCUGAGAGGAUGAACGGCCACAUUGGGACUGAGACACGGCCCAGACUCCUACGGGAGGCAGCAGUGGGGAAUCUUCCGCAAUGGACGAAAGGCUGACGGAGCAACGCCGCGUGAGUGAUGACGGCCUUCGGGUUGUAAAGCUCUGUUAAUCGGGACGAAAGGCCUUCUUGCGAAUAGUGAGAAGGAUUGACGGUACCGGAAUAGAAAGCCACGGCUAACUACGUG